GUAGGGGGCAAGCGUUAUCCGGAUUUACUGGGUGUAAAGGGAGCGUAGACGGCUGUGCAAGUCUGAAGUGAAAGGCAUGGGCUCAACCUGUGGACUGCUUUGGAAGCUGUGCAGCUAGAGUGUCGGAGAGGUAAGUGGAAUUCCUAGUGUAGCGGUGAAAUGCGUAGAUAUUAGGAGGAACACCAGUGGCGAAGGCGGCUUACUGGACGAUGACUGACGUUGAGGCUCGAAAGCGUGGGGAGCAAACAGGAUUAGAUACCCUGGUAGUCCACGCCGUAAACGAUGACUGCUAGGUGUCGGGUAGCAAAGCUAUUCGGUGCCGCAGCUAACGCAAUAAGCAGUCCACCUGAGGAGUACGUUCGCAAGAAUG
RNAcentral lists this ribosomal RNA (370 nucleotides) under uncultured bacterium. RNAcentral's name for it is "bacterial SSU rRNA". It matches the Rfam family "Bacterial small subunit ribosomal RNA", at positions 527 to 896 of the family's 1533-position model. The record is from RNAcentral.